RNAcentral lists this small RNA (76 nucleotides) under Arabidopsis thaliana (thale cress). RNAcentral describes it as "ATSL113570". The record is from RNAcentral. Lineage: Eukaryota; Viridiplantae; Streptophyta; Magnoliopsida; Brassicales; Brassicaceae.
CCAAAGCAACAACAACAAACAACAAACAACAAAGUCAAAUCUUCUCAAGCUUAUCAGCUUUCACAAUCGGAUUCGC